GGUGGGGCGUGGGGGAGAAGAAGAAGAGAAGUAGAGGGAGAAGAGAAGAAGAGGGAAAAGAAGAGGAGGAAGAAGAGGGAGAAGAGAAGAAAAGAAGAAGAAGAAGAAGAAGAAGAAGAGAGGGAAGAUGGAGAGGAGAGAGAGAGAGGCAGCAGCUGCAGCUAGGGCUGCUGCACCUCUGUUUCCAGCAGGUGGAAACAGAGGAGAGGAUGUGUGGGGCGUUGGGGAGGAGAAGUGAAGAGGAAGAAGAAGAAGAAGAAGAAGAAGAAGAGAGGAGGAUAGCUGUGGCAAGGCUGCAGCGAGGAGGGGUGUGGCGUUGGGGAGGAAAAGGGAAGAGGAGAAGGAGAAGAAGAGGGAAAAGAGAGGGAAGAGGGAGAGGAGCGAGAGGUGGCAGCAGCUAGGGCUGCAGCACCUCUGUUUCCUGCAGGUGGAAACAGAGGAGAGGUGUGGGGCGUUCGAAGAGGAGAAGAAGAAGAAGAGGAAGAGAAGAGGAAGAGGAAGCAGGAGAAGAGGUUGUGAUACCUCUGUUUCCUGCAGAGGAAACAGAGGUGAGGGUGUGUGUGACGCCGGGGAGGAGGAGGGAAGAAGAAGAGGAGAAGAAGAAGAGAAGGGAAAGGAGGAGCUGCGGCUGCGGCGGUGGAAGCUGCAGCUGGAAGAGAAGGAGAGGAAGAGAUGGUGAGGAAGAAGAGAAGAAGUAGAAGCGGGUGAAGAGGCGGCACCUCUGUUUCCUGCAGGAGGAAACAGAGGAAAGGAGGUGCUGUUCGUCGUGGAGAAGAAGGGGAGGAAGGAGAAGAAGAGAAGAAGAAGAAAGGAAGGAGAAGGAAGAGGAGAAGGGAAAGAAGUAGCUGUGGCUGCGGCUGUGGCAGCUGCAGCUAUGGCAGGGAAAGAGGAAGAGAAAGGAAGAAGGGAAGGAGAGGAAGAAGAAAAGGGAAAGAAGGGGCUGCGGCUGCGGCGAUGGCAGCUGCAGAUGGAAGAGAAGAAGGAGAGGAAGAUGAGCAGGGGAGGAAGAAGAGGCUGUGGCCGUGGCUGACGCUGCGACUGCAGCAGUGCAGCUGGGAAAGAAGAGAAGGAAAGGAAGAAGAAGAGAAAGGAAAAGGGAAGAAGAGAGGAAGAGGAGAAGGGGAGGCAGCUGUGGCAGUGGCAGCUGCAGCUGGAAGAGAAGGAGAGGAAAUAGAGCAGGGGAGGAAGAAGAGGCAGCGGCUGUGGUGGCUGCGGCCAUGGCUGCGACUGCGACUGCGGCAGUUGCAGCUGGGAAAGGGAAAAGAAAGGGAGAAUAAGGGGCUGCGGAUGGGAUUGCGGUUGUAGCGGCAGCGACAGCAUAUGCAGCAGUUAUGUCUGCGAGAGAAGGGAGGAAGGAAGGUAGUGCGGUGGAAGGGGCUGCGAUUGUGGCAGCGGCGGCGGCUGUGGCUGCUGCAUUUGGGAAAGAAAAAGAAGGAAUGAGAGUAAGAGAGAGCAGGUGACUGUGCCUCGAUGUUCGACACGUGGUGUAGUUGCGAAGAAAGAAAGAAAACGAGUGCACAAAACGAAAUAGGGAGGGGAUGGAAGAAAAGUAGAAAAAGAAUUUGAGCGUACACCUUCUUCGAAUCUUUGGAUCAAAACCUUUAAAAGGUCAGCUUGUCACUCUUUGAGAUGUUUGAUUUGGGCUGAGGCAGUGGAUAGCUAUUCAGAAUUACGGGCAAGUCUUGUUGGUUAUUAUGUUAUUGUUGUAUAAGCAUAUUUUGUAUGUAACGAAAUGUUGUUGAUGAAUCGAAAUGGAUAUACUGUGUAAAAGUGUUAGAAGAUCUCUCUUAUUGGGAAUUUCGGAAUGUUAAGUCUAGUUUAUGAUGAUAUGAACUUGUGGUAAAUGGUUGGAGUUCUGAUUGUAUAAAUUACUUAGCUUGUGGAUUUAUAAAUGUUGUUCAUGUUUGUU
Molecule: long non-coding RNA, 1909 nt
Organism: Musa acuminata AAA Group (dessert banana)
Lineage: Eukaryota; Viridiplantae; Streptophyta; Magnoliopsida; Zingiberales; Musaceae
Exons: 2
Source: RefSeq, a predicted model, not a curated record